GAUUCCUUAUUUUUAGGCUCUUCAUCUAAAGAGCUGUCAUCCUCAUCUGAAGUAUCUGAAUCAGAACUAUCACUUGAUUCAUCUUUCUUCUUAGGAACAGCAGCAGUACCUUUCUUAACUGAAGAAUUCUUCCCAGCGUCAUCUUCCUCCUCUGAACUGUCAUCUGAGUCUGAGCUACUAGACUCCACUUUCCCUUUGGGGGUGGUAGCGGGCACACUCUUUUUUGCUGCUAUAACUUUUCCCUUUGGUUCAUUGUCAGAAUCA
This 264-nucleotide unclassified non-coding RNA is filed under the name Hevea brasiliensis (rubber tree). Lineage: Eukaryota; Viridiplantae; Streptophyta; Magnoliopsida; Malpighiales; Euphorbiaceae. The record is from RNAcentral.